This 240-nucleotide unclassified non-coding RNA is filed under the name uncultured fungus. Its description in RNAcentral is "sequence contains ITS1". The record is from RNAcentral. Lineage: Eukaryota; Fungi.
AUUUCGAUUUGGUUUCGGACGUACUAAAGAGAGUUACCUCUGUUUCGGUUCUUGACGCAUUUCGAUCAACAUGUUCAUUCAAAAAUACCCGAAGGCAUUGAAAACUCCAAAACAGACUACAAGUAGUCAGUUCACGGGACACAAAGCGUUUCCGCUCUGUUGUCAAGUAGUCUAUUGUUUCCAACGGACUACAGGACAGAAAGUGUGGUAAUGAUCCUUCCGCAGGUUCACCUACGGAAA